GGCAAGUGCACGAAUUCCGGUGGUGCUGUCUUACGUUGGACGCAAGUAGACACGUUAUCUCAAUGCUCGCUGCAAUUCCACGAGAUGUGAAUAUAAAGGAAAUGCAAUUUCAUUGUCUUAACCAUUAGAAAUUCUCCAAAGGGAUGGUGCUGUGUAAAUUGUGUGAACUCAGAACAGCUCAGUUCAAACUGGAUCAAGACAAAAAGUCUUAGAGCGGUGACUUUCCCUUCUGUCAUCUUAACUACUUUUGUGUGACCAAACGUUUCCUGUGCCAACCAGCGGGAGAGAAGAAGUGAGCUUGUCUCUUAAUUGCUUUGGAGUUUUGUUUGUCUAUUUAGCGUCCCUUUUUGAAGUCUCAAGAUUUAUGGAACAAUAAAUGCCAUUUACCGCUGGGUGCUUAUUUUGGAUUUCUCAUCGGUGUUAGAAGUUGGGUAAAAAUAUUUAUCUGAAAGCUUAUCAAGUUGUAAAUGACGCCAAGAAGUACUGUGCCAUUGUUCAUCCCAGUGAAACAAAUUAAAUCAUGGCAACAGCAAAGUGUGUUUCUUGUUUUUUUUUUUUUUUCAGUAAUAAGAUGCAGACAUUUUAGUAUAAUACAUAUUUUCUAAUUGUUUUGGGGGGAAAAAACGGCCAGGAAGUAAGGUUUAAACAAGGAUGGUUUGUCUGGGUUGCUGAAUGAUGUUCUCAGUAUUCCACAACAAAUUCUGGCCUUGCAAGUGGCCCAGGGUACAGCAGUCUAAGCAACAGCAGGUUCACUCAGCAGUGUGGAAGAUUAAUUUCAGACAGGUCUCAUCUUUUUCACGGCGUUCAGGAGUCCAACCUUCAGAUUACCCACCAGGCUGUCACAUCUCAUUGGGAACUAGAGAAGCUUGCCUUGUGUGGCCACCUUUUGGCGAAUGGAGCGGGGCAGAACACGGGAACGGGAGCUUCUCCUUGCUGAGGGUGUAAAGACGAAGACCUGGAAGGAUGAAGUGAGUGAAUUCGUCUUGGGUGACUCCCUUCCCCACCUCCUGGUCCCUCCUGUUGCUCCUAUCCAGGAGCGGUGAGCUCUCCGGAGUUUCCAGUGGUUUAGUUUCCGCUCCAAGUGCAAAUACAACCCGUUCUGAGACACUCGCCGGAGAAGGCAGGUCUAGUCUCCGCCAGGAAGCUGCCCCAAGCCUGGCCCUCCAUCCUCACUCUCCAGGACCACUCUCCUCCACCUUCAAGAUAGACCGCAGAUGACCCGACGGCCUGGGCAUCGAAGGCCGUCCCCAUCCUCUCCGGGCAGCUGCUACCCAAACCGCACUGCGCCAGCUCCGCGCUGUAGUAAAUCGCAAUUCGCUUGACUCCCUGACGGGUCUGUGAAUCCGAGGGGUGGGCGUGGGGGGCGGAGGAUGUCCUCAACCCUCAGAAAGCCCCUGCCCCCCGCUGUGUCCUGCACAAGGUGGAGAAGUCAUUAAGCCUUAGCUGGCAGGAUUAAGCGAAUUCACACCAAGAGGUGAAUGACUGAGCUCGGGGACCUUCCUCGGGUGUUUUACUUUAAAAGAAGCUGCUUAGUAACCCGGAAGAAUAUGAAUCGGGACGGUGGUGUAGACCUGGCUGGAGAGGAGUUUGGAAACUGGGAGAGACACUGAAUACUCUGUGUGCAGGCCUUGCCAGUCCGGCAGCUCCUGGCACUGUCUUGCCCGGAGCCUGAGGUCUGGCAGCUCCUCGGUGCCGACCACUACAUAGUAGCUGCUGAAUAAAGAAAUGCUUGUGGAAUUAGAGAAGAUCCCGUUCCAUCCCAGGCGCAUCCAGGGCCCAGGAAGGCCUGGCCUCCGGGCCACCGCGGGCUCCCUCCAGCCUGCCCGCCCACACCCUCUAGGCCACGGCGGGACUCGGGCGGGGGGACUUCCCAGGCGGGGGCUGGACGGAAGACACCGGUUACAGGAUGCGUGCACGUCCAGCUGUCCUGAGCCCCUGCAGCCGAGGCCAGCGGCAGAGGGGCCCCGGUGGCCGGCCGGGCCCCGCGGGUGCAGCGCCCCGACCCGGCGGGGAGGCUCCGGUGCCUCCGCGCCCCGGGCCCGCGCGGCGGGCGGCGACGAUGCCCGCGGCGGGGGGGGCGGGGGACUGUCCCGGUCGCCUCUCAGGGUCGGGCUGGAGUUCCCCCGGCGGGCCGCUGGGGCAGGCGUGUCGCGGCGCUCUCGGACUGCGGGA
This 2172-nucleotide long non-coding RNA is filed under the name Equus caballus (horse). RNAcentral's name for it is "lncRNA (ENSECAG00000056317.1)". The record is from RNAcentral. Lineage: Eukaryota; Metazoa; Chordata; Mammalia; Perissodactyla; Equidae.